Molecule: small RNA, 26 nt
Filed under: Bombyx mori (domestic silkworm)
Lineage: Eukaryota; Metazoa; Arthropoda; Insecta; Lepidoptera; Bombycidae
Description: ovarian small RNA-33233
Source: RNAcentral
UGCAAAAUACGUACUGGCCUGGUCUC